Long non-coding RNA from Panicum virgatum (switchgrass), 1555 nucleotides. RefSeq lists it as uncharacterized. Lineage: Eukaryota; Viridiplantae; Streptophyta; Magnoliopsida; Poales; Poaceae. The transcript has 6 exons. The record is from RefSeq and is a predicted model, not a curated record.
GCCGGUAAGCUCCACUUGUGCUGAAAGGUUCAGCCUUCAUGCUGGCAAGCACACGAGUGUCUGGGUCAUUUGAGAGCUGAAUGUUGGAGACGCAGUCGCUGACCAUCCGUCGUUCAGAGGAGGCUCCCUGACUGAGUCUCGGCCGGAGCUGGGGAUCAAGCCCUUGGCUUAGGACUCGUUGAACCGUAGCAUCAGGACGGAUGCAGUGCGAGUAGAGGACAGGGAAGGUUUCAGCGAGAGAUGUGUUGAGGAUCCACUUUAUCAUGCCAGAAUGAGGUGAGUGUGCCGGACGUCGGCCUCCUUCGACGGCGCCCGGACGUCGCCUGCUCCCUCCAUCACUCUCACACCCCGCCGUCGCACACUUGGUGCUCGUCGUCCUGCCAAAUCGGCCGGGCUUUGCUAGGCCUCCCUGUCGUACGACCCCCCCCCCCCCCCCCCCCUCUCUCUCCCUCUCUCUCUGGAUUUGCUGCAUCGGCUGCUGCAGCAUCCCCUACCCUCGUGAAUGAGGGAUUGCAGGACAGAAGCCGCGUGCCUCCGCAUCAUCCACACCACGAUGACCACACCACGAUGACCUCGCCCCCACACGUCGUCCUCCUCGGCGCUGCUUGGCAUGAGAUGCAAGCGACCGUGGCCUUAGGAUUUUUGGGGACGUACUGACGUUCGCCUCCAAUGCUAAUGAAGCAUUCACUGACCACUGCAUACCAGAAUGGACACUUUAAAUCAGCAUGUUGAAUGUGCGGAUAUAUCUACACACAAGCUUUGGUAUACUUGUUCUCUGCUGCUAUUCUAAAUUAAUUCCUUAUUUCUUCUCUUAUAUCUAUACAACUAAAAAGAGGCUAAGGGUGACGUUUUUCUUCGUCUUUCAUCCCCCGUCUGAGCGGCGCCCCAUGGUCCUUCGUCGUCCGUCCUCGGGGAAACAAGGAGCAUCUGAUCAUCUCCCGUGCAAUCUGAGCGCUCCCACACCCUCACCCGACCAGCCUCCCACACAGCACGCCGCCUUCCCCAUCGGCUCCGCCCGACGCCCUCCCCCUCACAAAGGAAGAUGCUGCUGCUCGGGAGGAAAGGAGUGCAGCCACUUAACUUGCUGGCAAAAUGAUCGAGUCUUUGUAAUUCCAUUAUCACAGGUUCAUGUUUAUGAAGAAGAACCCAUUUAAAUAUUCUCAAUAUUUCAGAACUUGGUUACAUACAAGUGAUUCUGAUGUAGUGCCCAUGAGUGAUAGCCACAACAAUAUGAUAGCUUAUGGAUUCAACGAUGUAACGUUUGGAGGCGACCUCACAGAAGCCAUGAUAUCCUUAAGACCGUUGAAAUUCACACGCUAUGGGUGCCCGAAUUCAGAAAGGCCUGUUGGAGCAAUAUUUUAUUUGAUGAAGAUUAUGUAUGUAUAUGGAGUAGGCUAUAUCCUCAACUGCGCUAUACAUAUCCUGCAUUGAGUGUACGUGUUUAACUCUUCUCUGAAAUGUUAUUUGCUCGUAAUAGUUCACUGUGGAGAAUUCACCAGGGGGAAUCUAUUUUGUUUACUGUAUUUUUUAAAUAAAAAGCUAUCACAUUGCACUU